CAUUUGUGUGGGAGCCAAGAAACCCUGCUAUGGGGCAGUGGUCAGAGACCUUUGUCGUGCUUUGAAAGGGGCUGGGCUGGGCUGGGCAGGGCAGGGCGGGUCGUGGCCCACCUGGGGCCACAGUUCAGAGCCACACUUGGGUCUUUGAGGCUGCCCACCCUCCCAGCUGCCAGCAUGGGGUUGGGGGGUGUCCACCCCCAUCAGACUGAGGAGGAAACGGACACUGUGUCACCCAGAAGCAUCCCUAUGUCACCCUGUGAGGCUGGCCUUGGACCCAGGACUCUGGGCGCCUGGUCAGCACCCCAGUGUGAACACAUCCUGCCCUGGGGCCUGGUCCCAGCAGCUCACACAGACCAGGGCUUGCCCAAAGGCAGGUAGGCAGGGCCACUGCUGACCAUGCACCUGGUGGGCCGUGAUUCUGGAACUAAUGGUCUCUGCCUGGCAGGGAGGCCGCCAGGGCCUCUGGGCUUCACCCCUCCCAACCUUCACAGGGGACCUCACCUCAGUGGGAAUGUUCUGGAGCCGGAACCCAAGGUUGGAAUCCCAGCUCCUCCCCUUUCUAGGGCAAGCUCCCAGCCUGUCUGUACUCAGUCUCCCCAACUGUCAAAUGGUAAUAAAACAGUCCUGUCCUCACUGAGUUGUUUGGAUGGGUGAGCAUCAGGUGUCUAGGGCACAGCAUGCUGUGAAGGAGUUAGGAGGGCCAGGUGAAGGAGCCAUGCAGGGCCGGGCCUCCUGGGUAAUGGGGCUAAGAGGAGAAUUCUGUAUGUGGUUCUGAGAAGGAGCAGAGUCCAGCUCUUUUGGAUGUUUGUAUUAGGAAAUUUACUAGAGACCAUGUCACUGCUCCACUCGGAAUCCUCGGGUGGCUUCCCAGUGCCCUUGACAUGGAAUCAAACUCCUCGCUUGGCCAUGCAAUCCGGGCCUGGUAUCCUGGCCCCCUCCCCAGUCCACUGUGGUUGGCUGUGCUGGCCUCGGGGAUCCCAGGCCCUCCACCCUCAUGCCCCACUGAGCACUUGCACCUGUGUCCCACCUCCAGCCCUCACCAGCUGUCCUCCAGCUCUCAUCUGUGAUGCAUCCGCCAGACCUCUGCUCCCAGCCUGCCCUCUCUAAUCUAUAAUCUCAUUUUAUUCUCUGUGUGAGCAUUCAGACUGAUGCUGCCCUGUGCCCGUGCCUGUCAUCAUCCCAGCACACGUGCAGUGUCCCAUAAAUACUGCAGAAUGACUGAGUGAUCAGACCUAGAGAGCCCCAGCCCUGGGUCCACCCUCACUGUGCCUGCACGCGGUGCCAGAGGAGGGCCUGGCCAGGGUAAGGGGCUGUCCAUCUCCUCCCCUGGCCAGUGCCACCGCAACCUCAGCAGUGAGGCUGCAGCUGCCUCGUGGGGAGCCCCUUCCCCUCAUGUCUUCAGCCGCACCCUGGCCCAACAGCCACUCGAGCUCCCUAGUGAGCCAAGCAUUUCUUGGGGACACCAAGAAACCUUGCUUGGUGUCCCCUGCCCAGGCUCCAUGCUCCCGAGAGAGAGAAGAAACUCCACCCUCACCGUCCACGCAGCUCCCCAGGAGUGUCAGAGGGCAGAGGAGGGGGCUCAGGGCCGCACAGCAGAAUGGCCCCAAGGGAGGGAGGGACGGGCCUAAGAACCAUGGGGUGGUUGUCUCACUGGAUGUCCACUCAGUCUCCCACUAAGAAAGCCCACUAGGAAUCAGAGGCAGCAAGGCUAAUGAAAGUCGGUUCUCACAGCAGCUGGGCAGGGAGGAUUCACCUGGGCCUGGGUCCUGCAGCCCUGCUCCUUUGACCCCGUGCCAGGGCCAGCUCUGCACACUCCAGUCCCGGGGCUCGGCCUUUCCCCUAACCAGUGAGUGUGGGCGUCAGUUCGGGCUGCUGUAGAAGAGACCACCAAUCCAGGGCCUAAUCAAUGGAAACUCGUCUCCUGGUUCUGGGAGCUGGAAAUCUGAGGGUUUGUGGCAUCAUCAUCCCCUGGAACUAUCCCCUGAUGAUGCUGUCCUGGAAGACAGCUGCCUGCCUGGCUGCCGGGAACACAGUGGUGAUCAAGCCUGCUCAGGUGACCCCACUCACAGCCUUGAAGUUUGCAGAGCUGACAUUAAAGGCCGGCAUUCCCAAAGGUGUGGUUAACGUCCUCCCAGGAUCUGGUAAGAGCCAUUGUCGGGGGCAGGGCUAGGGCUUCUGGCAGCUGGAGAUGCCACUGGGCAGAGCAGGCCCUACUGGAUAGUGGCGUGAGGGCAGAGUAGCCUGGGGAGAGCCCAGGCGGGGGCCAGCCUGUGACAAAGGAGGCCCCUCCCAUGGGGGAGGGCACCCGCACCUGGAAGGGCUUUCGUCUUCAGAUGCCCCAGCUGAAUGUAUUCCAGUGUGUGUGUGUGUGUGUGUG
This 2377-nucleotide long non-coding RNA is filed under the name Pan troglodytes (chimpanzee). RNAcentral's name for it is "long non-coding RNA NONPTRT012081". The record is from RNAcentral. Lineage: Eukaryota; Metazoa; Chordata; Mammalia; Primates; Hominidae.